Molecule: ribosomal RNA, 171 nt
Filed under: Giganthias immaculatus
Lineage: Eukaryota; Metazoa; Chordata; Actinopteri; Perciformes; Anthiadidae
Description: partial 12S rRNA
Source: RNAcentral
CACCGCGGUUAUACGAGAGGCCCGAGUUGAUAGGCACCGGCGUAAAGCGUGGUUAAAAUUAAACGGAGACACUAAAGCCGAACACCCUCAAAGCUGUCAUACGCACUCGAGGACAGGAAGUUCAACUACGAAAGUGGCUUUAUAACCCUUGAACCCACGAAAGCUAUGACA